This is a long non-coding RNA of Ornithorhynchus anatinus (platypus), 347 nucleotides long. RefSeq lists it as uncharacterized. Lineage: Eukaryota; Metazoa; Chordata; Mammalia; Monotremata; Ornithorhynchidae. The transcript is spliced from 2 exons. The record is from RefSeq and is a predicted model, not a curated record.
CUCCCACUCCCGGGUCCCCGCUCCGGCUGCCAGGGCUGGCGGGGAAGGUGCAGGGCAGGACGAAAAGCGGGCCCGGCUCCCGCGGCCGGGGCGAGGAGGGGCGAGACUUUAGGUUGAAUGAGAGAGAGGAGUCAAGGAUAAAGACAAGGUUAAGGACUUGUGAGACAGGCAGACUUCGAAAGGAUAGAUACCAACCAACUCAGUUACAUCUGAAUGGAUGGAAUAAAGAGCAACAACAAAGAAGAACUUGAGGAAAAGUAAAGAUAUUUGAUGCUUCAUGCAUUUGUAAAAUAAAAAAGCAAAACAUGCAAACAUACAUUUAUUUUUCAAUAAAACUAUUGAACUUC